RNAcentral lists this ribosomal RNA (434 nucleotides) under uncultured bacterium. Its description in RNAcentral is "bacterial SSU rRNA". It matches the Rfam family "Bacterial small subunit ribosomal RNA", at positions 957 to 1391 of the family's 1533-position model. The record is from RNAcentral.
GAACGCGAAGAACCUUACCCGGGAUUGAAAUUUAGAUGGCGGCAGAUGAGAGUUUGCUUUCCUUCGGGACAUCUAAGUAGGUGCUGCAUGGUUGUCGUCAGCUCGUGCCGUGAGGUGUCGGCUUAAGUGCCAUAACGAGCGCAACCCGCGUCGAUAGUUACUAACAGGUCAUGCUGAGGACUCUAUCGAGACAGCCGUCGUAAGACGAGAGGAAGGGGCGGAUGACGUCAAAUCAGCACGGCCCUUACAUCCGGGGCGACACACGUGUUACAAUGGCAGGGACAAAGGGAAGCGACAUGGUGACAUGAAGCGGAUCUCCAAACCCUGUCCCAGUUCGGAUCGGAGUCUGCAACUCGACUCCGUGAAGCUGGAUUCGCUAGUAAUCGCGCAUCAGCCAUGGCGCGGUGAAUACGUUCCCGGGUCUUGUACACACC